Molecule: small RNA, 561 nt
Filed under: Pongo abelii (Sumatran orangutan)
Lineage: Eukaryota; Metazoa; Chordata; Mammalia; Primates; Hominidae
Description: retained intron
Source: RNAcentral
GCUUUUGCGGCCAAAGUAGGUUGGGAGUGGAAGGUGGUGGCUGCUGCUCCGCAGUGUCGGGAAGAUGGCGCCGCCGGUGGCAGAGAGGGGGCUAAAGAGCGUCGUGUGGCAGAAGAUAAAAGCAACAGUGUUUGAUGACUGCAAGAAAGAAGGCGAAUGGAAGAUAAUGCUUUUAGAUGAAUUUACCACUAAGCUUUUGGCAUCGUGUUGCAAAAUGACAGAUCUUCUAGAAGAAGGUAUUACUGUUGUAGAGAAUAUUUAUAAGAAUCGUGAACCUGUCAGACAAAUGAAAGCUCUUUAUUUCAUCACUCCGACAUCAAAGGUGAGUAUUUUGAGGCCUUAAAAAGCAGGUUCAUCAAUAUUUCACCAUUGUUAUGGUUUACUAACAGAAAAUUCAUAGUAAUAAAGUACCCUUUAGUAGAAAAAUAUUGCCAUAAACUAGUUUGCUUAGGAAAGUUUUUUUCUGUGUUAGAAGAUUAUUUGCAUUCUUCCCAAUGAGAAUGUAUAAGUAAAAGGAUUCCUUUUUUCCCCAUAUAUGAAAGCAGAAUUAAAUUGUAUAAA